Molecule: ribosomal RNA, 484 nt
Filed under: uncultured bacterium
Lineage: Bacteria
Description: partial 16S ribosomal RNA
Rfam family: Bacterial small subunit ribosomal RNA
Source: RNAcentral
AUUGAACGCUGGCGGCAGGCCUAACACAUGCAAGUCGAGCGGAUGAAGGGAGCUUGCUCCUGGAUUCAGCGGCGGACGGGUGUGUAAUGCCUAGGAAUCUGCCUGGUAGUGGGGGAUAACGUCCGGAAACGGGCGCUAAUACCGCAUACGUCCUGAGGGAGAAAGUGGGGGAUCUUCGGACCUCACGCUAUCAGAUGAGCCUAGGUCGGAUUAGCUAGUUGGUGGGGUAAAGGCCUACCAAGGCGACGAUCCGUAACUGGUCUGAGAGGAUGAUCAGUCACACUGGAACUGAGACACGGUACAGACUCCUACGGGAGGAAGCAGUGGGGAAUAUUGGACAAUGGGCGAAAGCCUGAUCCAGCCAUGCCGCGUGUGUGAAGAAGGUCUUCGGAUUGUAAAGCACUUUAAGUUGGGAGGAAGGGCAGUAAGUUAAUACCUUGCUGUUUUGACGUUACCAACAGAAUAAGCACCGGCUAACUUCGUG